CCCCUAGAACUUUGAAGGGGAUAAAUCGUGGGUUAUGCCUCAACUGGAUCACAGGUUCUCCCCAUUGAGUGUACACUUCUGCGUACAAAAAACCCUCCUCCACAGUGAUUGCUCCAUACCAAAAUUUUGGUUGCAGGUUCCCACCAGGAAUCGAACUCUCCACCCUGCCGUUGGAAGCAAGCCAAUGUUGAUUGAUCCACCAGUUGAGCUGUGCCCCGAGGGGCUAUCAAAGUUCUACUUUACUUCCAAUAAAGCAGGACUAUAACGAAAAAAUUCAGCAAGUAAUCAGAUUCUUGAAUUGUUCAUAUGUAUCAUAUUUAAAAGGGAGCAUUUCAAAAUGAUUGUGUUUUUUACAUUGAUUUUUGCCCAUGUCAAGUUACAAAUGCGUCAUAUUUAAGAAAAUUGGAAGGUCCAAUUUCUUAUGGGGGUCUCUGAUCGUUGUUUGGUCGAAAGCUAGUAGUCGACAAUAUGCCAAAGGCUAAACUCAAGAAUCAACCCGGAAAAAUUAACACACAGUUUUGGAUUGUUCUAUUAUUUCUCAACAAAAGAUCAAUUAUCAUUUUUGUUGAGUCUUAUUCCUUCAACAAUUUUAUAAGCAAUCUCCAUAGACGAUCCCAUCAACUGUGUCAAAUACACAUAUAUCACACGUUCCCAUUAGUGGCGAAUCCAGCACCGAAGUCCAGUUAGGGUGGAGCUCGACCGUUGACCAUCAAAAGUAUUGUAUGUGUUCAGUUUUGAAUAAGAAAAUUAAAGUUUUUUUUUCUUUUAUUUGUAUAGCUUGAUUAAGUAACAUUUUCUUUAAUUUUUUUUUUUUUAUAUAAUCUCAAAACAUUUCUACUCUGUCACAUUUUGAAAUUUAUCGUAGUCAUGCUCUAAAUGUUUUAGCAUGAUUAUGUAAUAAUUGAAAAGGCAAGGAGUGUUAAUAUAAAUAUCUGUGAGGACUGGUUUUGCACCUAUUUUGAAAGGUCAGCACCCACUUCUACUUUCUCAAUAGAUUAGGGACCAACCACGGAUUUCAAUAAUUUUUAAUAACGAAAAUGGUUAGUAAUAAUCAUAAAAGUAAGACAUAACAUAAUACUGAGACAAAUAUUAUUUGGAAGAAAAGUGCUCUAUUGCUGUCAUCUUGAUACAAAAGUAAGAAAUAAAUAAAUAAAUAUUACUUCAAAAAACAACAUGGCCUUCGGGAACUCUUAACACCGGUACACACCCACUUAUCACAUACGCUAAAAUGAAAUCCCAAAUUUAAGCUAGAAAACACAAAUUUAAGCUGGAAAAGAACAUAGAUAACAUGUCAUAAACUGGUAAUCCUGAGGAAGAAAAGAAAGUUGUAACUAACCAACACAAACCAUGUAAGAAAUGGUAGCAAAGGCAUCUUUCUUUGUCAUGGUGGGGCUUUUCUUGCCACCUUUGGCAUCAGCGGUGGAAUUAGAAAUCAGAAGCAGCAGAUUCUUGGAGGAUUCUGUAUUGUUGCCGCCUGCCAAUUGCCUUUCACAGUUUCACGAUUUGGU
This 1508-nucleotide long non-coding RNA is filed under the name Olea europaea (common olive). Its description in RNAcentral is "long non-coding RNA (OEUR_LNC000021)". The record is from RNAcentral. Lineage: Eukaryota; Viridiplantae; Streptophyta; Magnoliopsida; Lamiales; Oleaceae.